Molecule: ribosomal RNA, 399 nt
Filed under: Methylosinus sp.
Lineage: Bacteria; Pseudomonadati; Pseudomonadota; Alphaproteobacteria; Hyphomicrobiales; Methylocystaceae
Description: bacterial SSU rRNA
Rfam family: Bacterial small subunit ribosomal RNA
Source: RNAcentral
CCUAACACAUGCAAGUCGAACGCCCCNCAAGGGGAGUGGCAGACGGGUGAGUAACNCGUGGGAACGUGCCCUUCNGUUCGGGAUAACCCNGGGAAACUUGGUCUAAUACCGGAUACGUGCGAGAGCAGAAAGAUUUAUCGCCGAAGGAUCGGCCCGCGUCCGAUUAGCUAGUUGGUGAGGUAAAGGCUCACCAAGGCGACGAUCGGUAGCUGGUCUGAGAGGAUGAUCAGCCACACUGGGACUGAGACACGGCCCAGACUCNUACGGGAGGCAGCAGUGGGGAAUAUUGGACAAUGGGCGAAAGCCUGAUCCAGCCAUGCCGCGUGAGUGAUGAAGGCCCUAGGGUUGUAAAGCUCUUUCGCCAGGGACGAUAAUGACGGUACCUGGAUAAGAAGCCCC